This is a long non-coding RNA of Chiroxiphia lanceolata (lance-tailed manakin), 4996 nucleotides long. RefSeq lists it as uncharacterized. The transcript has 5 exons. NCBI's taxonomy places the organism in Eukaryota, Metazoa, Chordata, Aves, Passeriformes, Pipridae. The record is from RefSeq and is a predicted model, not a curated record.
GGGUGUCCGCACAGCGCCUCUGGAUCGGCGGCCUUUUCCUUGCCCACCGCCGCCUCUGGCAGGCCCCGCCGCCUUUGUCUGCUUCCCGGAGCCACUCAUUGGGCGGCGGAGGACGCAGGCCCCGGGGCGGCCAGUGUGUCCCGGCCGCGAGGGCCACGGCAUCCGCGAGUUGCCAAGGUCACGGGGGCUUCGGGGAGCCGUGAGGCCGCUCCUGAGCACCCAUACCUGGCCCUCGGCCCCUUGCAAGAAGUUCAAGUGGGCCGAUGGGGUCCGGUGUCCACCGGUGAGAAACAGCAGCGCACUUUGUGCGAUCCCUGCGAGCCCGCAUGUGUGAUUACCCUCUGUUAAAAGGAUAAAAAGGCAACCUGACAGGUCAUCCUGUAGGAUUUUUCAGACUUGAAUACAAUAGAGAUACACUAGCAGAAAAGAGCCACUACACUUGUUUGCACCGUUCAGCCACAGCAAAGAUAAAAGUCCCAGAGUUACGGCUCUUCCCCAGGUUGCUGGAUUGUUGGCAUGUCCAGGAGACGUGGAUGUGCCACACACAUUGGCUGUGCCCUGUGCGUAGUCAAGUGCUCUGAAAGAAACCCAGGCAACUUCCUUGUCCUGCCUGGCUCAGGAAAUGUGGACACAGAAUCAUGAGGAGCGAGCAGGACAUUGGGGGGUGUGGAGAGAAAAGAGGGCUGACCAACACGGCCUGCAAAGAUGGUGCAGCACCACUAGACUGCUUUUCUUGCAGUGACAGGAAUGCAAACUGGUGAUGGAUUUUGAUCUGACUGAUCCAGAAGUGCCAUGCCAUGCCAGCCCAUCUGGCUGUGAGCUGCAGUUUUGUCAGUCCAGCAGCCCAAAGCAACUUACAGGCCUUCCUGUUUGGUGCUUCCUCCACGACAAUGCAGAGCCCUCUUCAGAGAUGCAGGUCCUUACAGCAGUUACUUCACCAGUGGAAAAAAUACUGAAUGAAGCAGAGCUGUCCUACUUGUCAUGUUCCUGCUCGACUUGCUGAGGCAUUUUCGAAACUCCUCUGAGCCCUGCACCCACUCCUUUGUAGGGUCCUCAGCACUGUGCAUGUCUCAGUGUGAGCCUCAGUCUCUCUCCCACAAGCUUUCAGUAACAGAAAUGGAAAGCAAAUCCAAGUCUUCGCCCCAUCAGAAACCGCAGCUGCAAAGCUGUCCUACUGUUGCAUAAGCUGCUUUUAUUUUUGAACCUUUAGACCUGUAGCACAUCCUCUGCAAAGGUUAAAUUCAAAAUUAGCUGCACAAGCAUAGAAAGGAGAGAGGAAAGUCUGUCUCUUGGCAUACAUUAUAGUCCCCAGCCCCCUCCAAAACAACAUGGAAGUGUCUCUGGUUCAAGGCAGCCUACACAACAGCGAGCUGCAGGAGCUGUAAGCUAUUAUUUUAGUUCCCAAGGAAAGUAAUUACUAUAGCAACCAACACAUCUGAAUGGCUCUUUGGCUGCUACCGAGAUACAAACAACUUGCGCACAAAGGCACAUCAGAAACGUGCUGUGUAAAACGUUCUCGGGGAGCUCUGCUUUUUGUAGAGCUUUAUAAAACGUGCAUAACAGGCUUCUGAGAAAUGACUGCCAGAAUAACAGCAAGCAAUUGUACCAUGCCAUGAUCCCAAAAUAACCUAAUCAAUGGCUCAGUAUAUUUGCCCCUGAAGAGAUGAAGCAAAAAAACUGCAGGCUCCAUUUUAAGCCUGUGUGCCGGGAAGUACCCAGCUGAGCUGAAGAUACAUUCAAUGAGCAGACAGUAAAAUGGUGGGGAAACGUCUCCCCUUUUGUUCUGUGUACUGAUGCAAACUCCCAGCAGGCUUCAAGUGCCAGCUCAUCCCUUGGGCUUAUACAGAGUUUGUCAGAAAAAGGGAUUUAAUUACAGCCUUGUAAUGCUAGAGGGUGUAAGAAGUCAUGUCUGCAUUCUUUUCUGUAUCUGUGCAGCACUCAACCCCCACAGACCCCAUCUCCAGCUGCAGUGCUGGGUACAUCACUUGCUAUUACUGAAUAAGGAAGCUUCUUGAGCAACAGCAAACUGUAAUCAUUGGCCAUUGCUUAAAUAUUACAGCAUUUGGAGUGUCUCUGUCACCUUCAAAUCAAAAUGCCAGUGGUGUAAUAACAGCUUGAUAGUUUCUGGUACCUGCCUGCAAAGCAGCACCACUUCAUGGUGCUGAGACAAACAGCUUAGAUCCCCAAAACGAGAUCUGGUCCAAGCAAUCUGGCCCAGGAGUAUUGUCCGAAAUUUCCCCACAGGACACAUACACACAUGUCACCUGUCUCAAGGAUGGUGAGUACCAUUAACAUCACACUCCUGCUCCAUUGCACAAGGCAGCUCUGAUGAAAAUGGCGGUUAUGGAUCUGGGUAACAGAGACAGAUAACAGAGAUCUCUGUUAUAGAGUUAGAUACUAUAAGGGUGCACAACAUGUCCCUUCCCAGAUCUGACCUGCCUUUUAAAAUGAUCUUUUAAUCAGUUGAGUCCUAAAGGCUUGCUCUGGGCCCAGAAUAAACUGAAAAUUACAGCUGGAUUUAACAUAAAGACAAAAUUAAGGAAGGAAAUGUAGUGAUGUAAUUUAUUACAGAAGUGCCCUACGACCAAAUAGAAAAAGGAUCUUGGCAUAGCAGGUUCUGCACGGCAGAGUUUUGGUUGACUGUAGCCUUUUAAGCAAAGUCACUUUAUUUUGGAUUAAAGAAAAACACCUGAGAAAAGCACAAAAAUAAAGAAUUCCUAAGAAAAUAGCACAAACAUAUAUGAAAUCCAAGGACUCACUUCUGUCUUGCAAAAUGGUAGCCACCCUAUAAGCACCAGGAGUUUUCAAACUGCCGGUCCCAGGGAAGUAAAUUCUCCUCUGUAAUUUUUCUCAUUAUAAGUUUGUUUUCUCAUAGUAGCUCCCUCUCAAAAAAAAAAAACAAAACAAAACACACCAACGAAAACCCAACAAAACAGUUCUUUAUCACAGUGUGCCUUUUUAUAAGCUCUUUGGUUGGGGAAAGACAGGACCACUCACUCACAGGGUGACUUCCCAGUUUGCCUUUGCUACUAAACAGGAAUAUCUUGCCUGGUUUAGAGGAGCUGGGACCAGUGGGACCAGGCUUCUGGGCAGCAUGUAACCUGCCUUCAUGCCACACCUCUGCUAUUCCUGCAGGGUCACUGGCUGCAAUAGAGCAGAUAAAUCCUUGUUGCUCACAAACAUUUUGUGGUUUGGGUCGGAAAAGGCUGCUGCAGUGCCUUUUCAGUGAGAGCAAGGGAAGAUACAGAGUAGAGAGCUAUUGCACUGCCCGGCUGCUCAUGCAGAGCUGCAGGGCAGAGAAGUGAAACCAAAGUCUCAGAGAUGAACAGCAAGCUCUUUUGAACACUCACCAGCUGUGGAAGUGCCCUGCUACCAAUGCCAGGUGGGUCCAGGCCCAAUACUGCGGUUUUCUCCUGCGAAGAAAGAAGAGAAAAAUGCAAGGAGCUUGCAUUUGACCAUCAUUGUAAGCAAAUCUCAGUGCCACAGUGAAUAAGGCCCAAAACAAACUCUUCCUUAAAAAUAGAAAUCCUCAAGGUCAUGAAGCAGGACUCUUGGAAUACCUUGCUCAGAUUCUAAAGCUGACAUUGCUUCUUACUGUUUCCUGCAAGAUUCAGGCUUGUGCCAGCUGGGUUUUUUUCUAGUUUAUCUGCUAGCUUGAAAAUUGAGUGCCUAGUUCAUUAACAGAUUUGUCUGUGGUAUUGCUUUUGUACUUGGAACAGCCUUAGAUGUCACCAGGGCUUGAGUGGUCUUGCAUCUGUGAAGGUAGGUGAGAAAAUCAGGGUGUCCAUGGCUAUUACAUCAGACAAAGAGUUUGAUCUAGACUUUCUCUGCUGCAAAUCAGAGAAGUAAAUCAAAAGGGCAACCCCUGUCAUGUUAAAAAAACUCACAGGUCAAUGAAAUCUGGUCUUUGCAAAGCAGAAAUGCUUCCUAUAUCUGGAGAAGCACGUUAAGGGAGAGGUGCUGAGGGAGUCAAGGUGCUAAGGAGUGAGCUUCUGGGAACACUCUGCAUGUGAAAACACUUCAUAAAUCGGUUAUAAAUGAGGUUGACCUCUCUUCCAUCCAUCAGGGGCCUUCCUCACUCCAAGGUUUGUGCUGCUCCUUGUUGUGUCUCAAAUGGGAGGUAGUAUAGAUGAGCACUAAAAAGGAUGUUUACUUGCAACGUUGUUUUUGGAUAGAGAGCACUGAUUGAGAAGGUGCAGAAGAAAACACAGGAACAGGCAUUUGUGUUACACAGCAAAUAUGAGGCUGUCACCAACAAAGAAGCACAGGUUUCCAAACCAUCUCUGCUCAGCCCUGGGUAGGAGGUUUUGUUUCUGUGUUGGAUUGGAAUUUGUAGUUUGUCUUGUCAAAGGAUGGUGGCUGUGUUGGAAAUUAAGAUUUAGCAACCAAUGGUUGAUUGAUUGAGGCUUUUUGGUGGCAGUUCUAGGAAUUAUUGGUUCUUUGAACAAGUUCUGAAAAUGGGCUCAUAGAAAUACAACCAUAUCAAAUUGUAGUGAGGUUCUCUAGCCUUGCACUUGAGCCUUGCCAAGAGAGGUCACAAAUAUGCUCAUACAUUACUUACAUGUUGCCAGGGUUUUUCCUGCAGACUGAAGUUGCCUGCAAAGACCGGAGACAGGCAGAGGUCAAUAUUUCGGAAGACAAUGAUUUUUAAUGGAGUCUGGGUCAGAGCCACAACUUGGAGAAUAACAACACCCUGGCCAGCAAAUACCCUGACCCUGAUUUACAGCUCCGUCAGCAGGCACUGCCUUCUGCCUCUUGUGGAGGGACUAAGGGGGGGAGGACAAAGGGAGAAAACAGCUUUUUGUCGUGCCACGCUUUGCAGGGGCCGUGAAAGUCGUGUCGGUGUGAUGCAAGUGGGGCACAGGAGAGGGUAGAGGCGAUGGUCCGUCCCCCGGACUUGCGAGCUGGCGGCUGCACUGCCCGGCUUGGCAGCGCCCGCCUGAGCACCGCAGCCUCGUUCUCUUCUUUCCGCAUCCUUCCCGCUCCCCUCGGCCAC